Non-coding RNA from Miniopterus natalensis, 1101 nucleotides. Lineage: Eukaryota; Metazoa; Chordata; Mammalia; Chiroptera; Miniopteridae. The record is from RefSeq and is a predicted model, not a curated record.
AUGGCGACGCUGCAGGGCGGGCAGCUGGGGCCUGACCCCGGGGCGCUGAGCCCCGCGCAGCUGGAGCAGCUGCGCAACUUCAAGAUUCAGACGCGGAUUGCCAACGAAAAGUACCUAAGAACCCACAAAGAAGUGGAGCUGCUCCUAAGUGGUUUUUUCAGGGAGAUGUUUCUGAAGAGGCCAGACAACAUCCGAGAAUUUGCCGCAGACUAUUUCACGGAUCCAAGACUUCCCAACAAGAUUCACAUGCAGCUAAUUAAGGAGAAGAAAGAGGCUUAAUUAGCAGAAUCCUGAUGCUCAGCUGUUGAGAGAGACCAGAAAGAAUCCAGCCUGGGGAGGGGAACAACACGGAACCACUUCUACCCAAUCUGGUCACCAUACGCCUAUUACUUCUACUGUUACAAAUACCGGAUCACCCUCCGGGAGAAGAUGCUGCCUUGUUGUUAUAAAAGCAUCACUUAUAAGGAACAGGAGGACUUGACACUCCGGCCCCGUUUCUGCCUUCAGUGCUCCUGAGUCCCCAGUAGGCCUCCAGAUGGGCAGGAGCACCACGCAGGGUGACCAUGACCAGCUUAAAGAACUGUAUUCGGCUGGGAAUUUGACGGUGCUGGCUACUGACGCUCUCCUCCACCAGGACCCAGUACAGUUAGAUUUCCAUUUCCGCCUCACCCCUCAGACCUCUGUCCAUUGGCACGGCCUUCUCUGUGACCGUCGACUUUUCCUGGAUAUCCCAUAUCGGGCCUUGGAUCAAGGCAACCAGAAAAGUUUGACUGCAACACUGGAGUACGUGGAGGAGAAGACCAAUGUGGACUCCGUGUUUGUAAACUUCCAAAAUGACCGUAAUGACAGAGGUGCCCUGCUACGUGCCUUCAGCUACAUGGGCUUUGAGCUGGUCAGACCAGGUCACCCUGCCCUCCCUCCCUGGGACAAUACCAUCUUUAUGGUGUAUCCCCUUGAAAGGGAUCUGGGCCAGCUGCCCACUAAGUCUCCCUGAGCAUGCUUAUCCAUACUCUCUGAGGGGCUGGAGGCCUUGAUACAUGGGACCCAGGAUGUGAUUCUGGACACCUCCUCCUAUCCUAGGAAUUAAAGGGUAGUGCAAUC